This 35-nucleotide non-coding RNA is filed under the name Trypanosoma brucei brucei. Lineage: Eukaryota; Euglenozoa; Kinetoplastea; Trypanosomatida; Trypanosomatidae. The record is from RNAcentral.
UGAAGAGGUUGUGAUACCUCGAAACUCGCAGUGAU